UCUUCACUCCACCUUCUCCACGUCUCUUCCCACCGCCGAGUCGCCGGCCUCCUCCCACCCCCACCAUGUUUUUUGCUCCUGUCAUCGAGAUGCCGUGGAUCGAUUGAGCUCCAAAUUAAAGAACAUUGAAGUGAUCACCACUCUUGGAGAUUCGGGCCACCGAAAUCAGGGUCUUGAAGUUUCUGAAACCCAUUUGAAGAAAGUUGAUAACUUUGGCCUUGUCCUGCUCAUUUGCUAUCUGGGUUUUUUUCUCUCGCCAAAUCAAGGGAUCAAGCAGAGGUAGCGAAUUGGGGAAAAGAGGAGAGACUGCAAGAUUGGAUACCCAAGUGUAGAGAUGAAGAAGGGAUAUUCUUGGUAUAUUGGGUUAGUCAGUAGCUUUGAAAGCACCUGUGUAUUCAAUUGGACCAAUUUAGGAGUGGAGUGCCUUCUGUGUAAUAAAAAGUUUCUGGUCAAUUUGGAUGCUAAAACCAGUUGUUCAUAGUUGAGAUUGGUUGGUUUAUUACCUGAACUUGCGUCCAAGUCUUACGGCCCUGGUUCUCGCACUUGGUAUGAAUUUCUCGGCCAAUCUUAUUCUUUCUUAUUCCCUGAAAUUGUUUGAGAUCUGCCUAAUACUGAUGUAUUAUAUGUGAUUCUGUGCUUUGUUUGUUGUUUAUGGUUCUAUGAUACCUUUGUAUCACUUGAGUGUUUACCACCUUGUGAAGAUAUUUUUGUUUGCUACCAAUUUUUUUUGUUUUUGCACCUCUGAUCUAAGAAUCUAUUUGACUACAUUUAUAAUACCUAAAUUACAACAUGUUUGGUGUCUAAAUAUAAGGUAAAAAGUAGCUCCAGUGAAACGAAGUUGAAAGAACAUGGAUAAAGAAUGGGCUUAUUGUAAAAGCAGGUUACAUCUAAAACCAGAAACCCUAAGGUUAUGAUGCUAUAAACCAUAAAUGUAUUGUAAACUCUUUUCUAUUUUUUGUUGUUGUUGUGUGUCAUUAGCAAUCCUAGAGCCUUUCAUGACGGAGCCAAAAAGUUUGUUGAUAGCAUUCAUGCAAGUAAGGGGUAUCCCGAAAAGAUCCAGUGCCCAUGUAGUAGUUGUAUAAACGUAUGGUCUUACCCACCUCGUACUGUAUUAGAUCAUCUAACCUCAAAUGGGAUAUAUGAGAGUUAUGUUAAUUGGACCUUUCAUGGAGAUGAGCCAAGAAGUAGUUGCUAUUUACAGAAAAAAUGUGUUGAAAUAUUGGGAAACUGAACUUGGUACUUUUAUUGGAAAAUUGACAUAUAUCUUCAUAUAUAUAUGUUUAACUUAGAUGAUCAUUUGCUCUUACAUAUAUGGUUUGCUGAGUACUUGCUUUUGUUAUUUAACUGUGUUUUACAUUCAUAACAGGGACUUCCAGUUUUUGAAGUAUAUAUUAACGAACUCCGACUGAUGAUAAAUUUCUUAAAGAGAUAGUCGAGAGAUUCCGCAUUUGGUAGUUGUUCAAAAGAUGAUGCGGUAUAUUUUGUAAUGCUAUAUUCUUAAACUCAAGUUUGCUACUAAUUGUACUUAGUUUGUAGUAGAUUGGAUAUGACAAGUUUGUUAAAACAUUUUUUAGUAUUUAUGGUAUAUAUGUUGA
Molecule: long non-coding RNA, 1595 nt
Organism: Rosa rugosa (rugosa rose)
Lineage: Eukaryota; Viridiplantae; Streptophyta; Magnoliopsida; Rosales; Rosaceae
Exons: 5
Source: RefSeq, a predicted model, not a curated record